GUAAGUAUAGUUUAACUAAGACAUCAGAUUGUGAUUCUGAAAAUAGGGGUUAAACCCCCCUUACUCACC
Molecule: transfer RNA, 69 nt
Filed under: Pimephales notatus (bluntnose minnow)
Lineage: Eukaryota; Metazoa; Chordata; Actinopteri; Cypriniformes; Leuciscidae
Description: tRNA-His
Rfam family: tRNA
About the family: Transfer RNA (tRNA) molecules are approximately 80 nucleotides in length. Their secondary structure includes four short double-helical elements and three loops (D, anti-codon, and T loops).
Source: RNAcentral